RNAcentral lists this long non-coding RNA (588 nucleotides) under Daucus carota (carrot). Its description in RNAcentral is "long non-coding RNA (DCAR_LNC005743)". The record is from RNAcentral. Lineage: Eukaryota; Viridiplantae; Streptophyta; Magnoliopsida; Apiales; Apiaceae.
ACGUUCGGAAAAUAAACACGUAAUACCACGUAUCUUAUCUUAAUGAUAUCCCCACCGAGCACAGGGCUGAAAAAUGGGUUUCUCACUAAAACAAGAAGGGUAUGGGAGUGAUGGGAAUGGGAGCACAAUUUAUGAGUUAGUGAGCAAGUAAAGUUAGUGCACAAUAUUCCCGAUAAUAACGAGUGGCCAACUCGAGUAUUUUGAAAUCAAGAGAGCUUAAGAUGAAGAGAAAUUCGUUUGAAAAGCCCUUUGAAAAUGGUCGAUUAAGACUCGGAUAAUUGAAGCUAAAAGAAACCACUUACACGAUUAAUGCACGAAAGCUCGCCGGAGAAAUUCGUCGGAGGUUCGAUACGACUUUAAGCACACGAAUGAAUUUGAGCAGCCCUUCGGGAGGUUGAAAAGAGUGGUUUAUGAAAAUGCUAAGAUGAGCGAGGCUUGGUUGGGUGGAACGAAGCUUCGGGGUUUAAAACCUUGUAUAUAUCGGAAUAUAUGAAGAAUCGAAGGUUUUAAAGAUGAAGUAGAAGAAGUGGGCACUUGAAUAAACUUUGGGAGAGUGUUUCUUCUCUAAAAUCUCAGCAUAUAUUUGGC